This 456-nucleotide unclassified non-coding RNA is filed under the name uncultured fungus. Its description in RNAcentral is "partial contains small subunit ribosomal RNA, internal transcribed spacer 1, and 5.8S ribosomal RNA". The stretch from base 1 to 73 matches the Rfam family "Eukaryotic small subunit ribosomal RNA", at positions 1759 to 1831 of the family's 1831-position model. The record is from RNAcentral. Lineage: Eukaryota; Fungi.
GCAAACUUGGUCAUUUAGAGGAAGUAAAAGUCGUAACAAGGUAACCGUAGGUGAACCUGCGGUUGGAUCAUUAUUGAAAUCCAAACUUAUUUGAUCGUAAGCUUUGAAAAUCCUACAUUACGUAGUUUUUCAUUCUUACCUCAAUACCCCCAAAAACCUUUACGAUCACUUUCUUUUUCUCUUUUGCAAAAAAGGGGGAAAGAAUAGUGUUGUGAACCCUUUUUUUCAAAAAGGAAAACUUUCUUUAUUUGGGUACUUUUCCUCUCUCCUUGGUAAAACAAGAAAAAGAGGGAGAUGCCCUAUAAAGUCGAGGUUUCCUUUUUUACUCAAACCUAGAUAAACGUUUGUUUUAAAAUAAUUAAUGUUUUAACAAGGUAGACUCUUUUGAGUCUCACUUAACAAAAAACAACUUUUGACAAUGGAUCUCUAGGCUCUCGCAUCGAUGAAGAACGCAGC